AGAGUUUGAUCAUGGCUCAGAGUGAACGCUGGCGGCAGGCCUAAUACAUGGCAAGUCGAACGGCAGCACAGCAGAGCUUGCUCUGUGGGUGGCGAGUGGCGGACGGGUGAGGAAUACGUGGAAUCUGCCCAGUCGUGGGGGAUAACGUAGGGAAACUUACGCUAAUACCGCAUGCGCCCUUCGGGGGAAAGCCGGGACCUUCGGGCCUGGCGCGAUUGGAUGAGCCCACGUCGGAUUAGCUAGUUGGCGGGGUAAAGGCCCACCAAGGCGAUGAUCCGUAGCUGGUCUGAGAGGAUGAUCAGCCACACUGGAACUGAGACACGGUCCAGACUCCUACGGGAGGCAGCAGUAGGGAAUAUUUGGACAAUGGGCGCAAGCCUGAUCCAGCCAUGCCGCGUGAGUGAAGAAGGCCCUCGGGUUGUAAAGCUCUUUUGUCCGGAAAGAAAAGCGCCGGGUUAAUACCCUGGUGUCCUGACGGUACCGGAAGAAUAAGCACCGGCUAACUUCGUG
This 510-nucleotide ribosomal RNA is filed under the name uncultured bacterium. RNAcentral describes it as "bacterial SSU rRNA". It matches the Rfam family "Bacterial small subunit ribosomal RNA", at positions 8 to 507 of the family's 1533-position model. The record is from RNAcentral.